RNAcentral lists this ribosomal RNA (119 nucleotides) under Candidatus Agathobaculum intestinigallinarum. Its description in RNAcentral is "partial 23S ribosomal RNA". It matches the Rfam family "Bacterial large subunit ribosomal RNA", at positions 2805 to 2925 of the family's 2925-position model. Lineage: Bacteria; Bacillati; Bacillota; Clostridia; Eubacteriales; Butyricicoccaceae. The record is from RNAcentral.
UAAGUGUUCCCAUCCUUCGGGAGUAAGGCCCCUUGUAGACUACGAGGUUGAUAGGUCAGGAGUGGAAGUGCAGUAAUGUAUGGAGCGGACUGAUACUAAUAGGCCGAGGGCUUGACCUC